UACGGAGGGUGCAAGCGUUACCCGGAAUCACUGGGCGUAAAGGGUGCGUAGGCGGGUCUUAAGUCAGGGGUGAAAUCCCGGGGCUCAACCUCGGAACUGCCUUUGAUACUGUUAGUCUUGAGUCCGGAAGAGGUGGGUGGAAUUCCUAGUGUAGAGGUGAAAUUCGUAGAUAUUAGGAAGAACACCGGUGGCGAAGGCGGCCCACUGGUCCGGUACUGACGCUGAGGUGCGAAAGCGUGGGGAGCAAACAGG
This 252-nucleotide ribosomal RNA is filed under the name uncultured bacterium. RNAcentral's name for it is "partial 16S ribosomal RNA". It matches the Rfam family "Bacterial small subunit ribosomal RNA", at positions 524 to 776 of the family's 1533-position model. The record is from RNAcentral.